GUCAGAUAUGUGGAGGUCCAGGAUUAUGUGUCAGCAGCUGCUGCCUGAGAGAAGUGUGAGGGCAAGGCAAGUCAAAGUGGAGGAGGGGAGGGAGGCUGACAAGUGACCUUGGAGACAGGCCACUGCUAUCAUUCCAGCGGCACCCGCUGUCACUAGUAUUCACAUCUCUCAUAAGUACAGAGGAGGGGGGUGGGGAAGAAGAGCAGGGAAGGAUAACCAAGCUCAACCUGGAGGAGAAGCCAUGUAAAAGGAAGGCACGGCCGGUGAUAAAUAAAGGAGGAGAUGCCGUGGGCUAAACUGAAAUUGACGUGUGUCCCUCGAGGUCACGAGGCUGAAAAGGCACAACUGAUUCUACAAGUGCAGGCGAUUAGCACCCGGUGGAGUGUCAACAUUCCUGCGUGUUCCUGUCGCAGUUUAUCCUGGUGCCUGUCUGCAAGUGUGAAAGCGUAACAAGAACUCCUAACUGGGCCAACAUAAGGAUGGCUGACUGAAAUGUCAGCUUGGCUUUUUAAAAAUGUGCCCAUCGUGCUCAAUUAGGCACAAAAGAAUACUGCUUUGCUCGCAUUGCAUCUGAGCCACUAGACACAAAACUAAAGAAAAGGAGGCCAAGCUUAAAAAAAAAAAAAAAGAAACGGAGAAAAGAGGAGGGACAAGACCCCACAGAAGCAAUGCGGUGAAUGUGCUUCACUAAAAGAACAAAGAAGGGGGGACUAUUUAGGUGCGGCAUGUUGUCCCUUUGCUUCCUAUCCACCAUUUUCUUAUUCCAUUCCUUGAACAGCUGUCUCGAAAAGCACAUCUAAAUUCAAAUAGGUGAUAGGAUUACCAGCUCUGAGCCUGUACCCUUUCCAGCCAGCUACCCUAAAGAUUUAUUCUGUGGGUGAUAAACCGGAUGCAGCUGCUCGUAAGGGUGGGAGGAGCUGGGAAGUGCUUUGCCUGAUGUCUGGGGACUAGGGCCAAAAACACCACUUCAACUUGAUCUCAACAGCGCCCUCCACAGGCAUGAAUUUGUCUUUGUCAGCUGCUCAACAUGCAAUGCAACAAUAAUAUGCAACAGUGAGAACAAGCUGAAUAGACAAGCAUCCCUUCAAGAAUUCACUUUAAGCAUUGCAAGCAUGUGUUGCCAAAUGGCCGCUGUGCUUCUCUUACCACUUCAUCCUCGGACCAGCACUUCUCUAUCAACUUUGGCACUGGUUUCUUCACCAGGCGCUGGAGAGCUUUGCCGGCAUCAUAGCUGCUCUCGUGAAGCUGUGGGAAACAGGAUUUUAUACCUCUGGAUUUAAACCCACUGGAUUUAAGUGACAGACACAUCUCUCAUUACAGCUGAGGUGUUAAGAAGCCCCCGAGGGAGAGUUUACUACACGAGGGCUGCUCUACUGGCUCGGGGGCCGUAUUAUUACCAUCACUGAAGCACAUCUGCAAUGAGUGGACUUGUGGUGAUUCAAACUUUACGAUGGCCUUUUUCACUACCUACAUGAAACCCAGUAUUUAGAAUGAUUGUCCUUACAGUGUUGAGUGCGUUUAAUGUAGUGUCAUCUCGAGAGGCUGCAAGACAUCCAUCCUCUGUUGAGCCUCCGUCACACAUCCCUGCAAAGGCAGCCAUGCUCCUGUGGAUGAGGCAAAUGGUCAAUAUGAAUGAAGCGUUCCAAUGUCCCUUGAGCGACAAAUAUGGUCUCUCAGGGGCUAGUGAAAAUAAAUCAUAA
Long non-coding RNA from Syngnathus typhle (broad-nosed pipefish), 1700 nucleotides. RefSeq lists it as uncharacterized. NCBI's taxonomy places the organism in Eukaryota, Metazoa, Chordata, Actinopteri, Syngnathiformes, Syngnathidae. The record is from RefSeq and is a predicted model, not a curated record. The transcript is spliced from 3 exons.